UUCGUCCUUUCCCGCUUUUUUCUUUCGCCAGGCAGGCGCAGUAGCGACUCACGCGCUCAGCUUUUUUUUUCUUGUUGUUUUUUUGUUCGUUCGCGCGCCAAUUCCUGAGGGGAAAAUCGUUGCCUUUUAAAAGAAGGCAGAAAAAGAGAAAAAAAAUUGAGUAACUAAGUUUUGUGGGAGCCUCUGCUCCAAAUAGAAUGGCAGCCAUUGGCGCCUCUGUCUCUUCUAGCCAGGCCGUGUUUGGGCUCGCGAGGUGCUCGAGACUCAGCAAGGCUCAAUGUGUUUGUACAAUACCAGUCUGGCCAAGGAAAAGCCACUGGCAGAGGGGAUGAAGACUGUGCAGUUGCUUCAAAAGCUGGUUAAGAAAGGCAACUUCAGGCAGCAAACGUGAUUUAGCCCAAGGAAAGAUGACUGGAGAGGUUGUAUCUUAUCGCAAAUUCCUGUGCAUCAAAUGUAGAAGAGGCUCUUUGAUAGCAGAGAAUUCUAGAGAAAUUCACUUUUGCUGUUUGAAAAGGUGAGGAAGAGCUCCCCUCCCCCCAGCUACAUUAUGACUUUAGCAAUAAUUGCCUUCAGGGGGAAAAGACGGUUCCUUCUGCUGCCAAUCACAUGCCACAUUGAAGGAAAAGGGGUAUGAAGAAGGAUAGGCCCAUUUCUAUAUUUAUCUGAUUUCUAUAACCACUCUUCCCAACAAAUGACCCCGAGUGGCAUACAUUAUGGGGCUGCCCUUGAAAACCACUGGGAGGCUUCAGUUGGUGCAGAAUGCAGCCGCGUGGGUAGUGAUGGGAGUGUCCCGAUGCUCCCAUGUCACACCCCUCCUGCGUGACCUGCAUUGGUUACCGGUUGCCCUCCGGGUGAGGUUCAAGGUGCUGGUGAUUACCUAUAAAGCCCUACAUGGCUUAGGCCCGUGGUAUUUGGCGGAUCACCUGCAGCCAGCAACAGCUCCCCAUCGCCCCGUGCGCUCACAUAGAGAGGGCCUACUUGGGGUCCCGUUGGCCAAUGUUGGCUGACGGCCCCUAGGGAGCAAGCCUUCUCUGUGGGCACACCUGCCCUCUGGAAUCAGUUCCCCUUGGAGCUCCGGGUAGCCCCCGACCUUCGCUCCUUCCGCCGUGACCUUAAAACAUGGCUGUUUCGCCAAGCUGGCCUGGACUGAAUGGGGUUUUAAUGGGAAUUUUAGUUUUUAUUGUUGAAUUUUAAUUGGACUUGUUUGUUGCUGUGAGGCGCCCUGAGUCCUUGUGGAGAAAGGGCGGCAUAUAAAUCCGAUAAUAAAUAAAUAAAUAAUAAAUAAAUAAAUUAUAAAACAAAAGCAAUUAAACUGCUAUAAAAUAAAUAUAGAUGCACCAAGUAAAACUGUUACUAUGGAUGAUAAUACAGCUAGGAAAAGGGGCCCUUAACUUUAUAUUUCCUACUUGCUACGAUCCAAUCCGUCCCCAAAUUUCCCUAGCAGAGAAGAGGCAGGAAAAUCUCACAUUGUUGGUUGGGUCUAAAGCAAACGACUUGAGUAUCAUGCAGCACUCCAAGAUGCAAAUAUACCCUAAGGUACAAGUAUGGUCACUAUGCAGCCAUGUUAUCCAACGGCAGCCCUAAUCUUAGAAGAAGUAAGGGCAGAAGUCUAACAACUGAAGCGUGUAUUCCCCAAAGCAAGUUCCAUCAAGUUCAUCAUGGCUUCUUCACACACACACACCUGCAUGGGGCAUAGCCUUAAAAGAAUGUUGUUUGAGAAAGGAAAGAUGAUAUCCAAAGUUGUAUCAUAAAGAUAUGCCAAAUAAUUUCAGAUGCAUUAUAGCUCACGUCUAGCCAAUGUUAAAGUAGUUGGACCAGGAGAGGCCCUAACCCUAAUAUCUUUGUCAACAUCCUAAGCUAACCCAUUGCCUAAAUUCCAAUCUUCAGGCCAUUAACCCUAACAUACCAAUUUGUACAUAAGUGUUCCUCUGUUUUAUGCAUUCAGUUAUUUGCAACUAUAAUUUGUAGGGAAGAGAGCAAGCAGCAUGGAUAAAAAUAAACUUAAAACUAGAUGACUAGGCUAAAACAUGCAGAUACUUGGAACAGUACCUAUGAAAGAGAACAUCACCAAUGCAACCAAUGCACAUAAGGCAGCGGUAAAAGUAUGUAACAAAUCCUUAAAUGGAUAUGCAUAUUUAUCAGCCAGAUUCUUGAGUGUUUAAUGUAAACCAAAUUAGCAUACAUAUUAAAACAAAAAGUAUAAAGCCUUUAUGAAAACCUUGGUGAAUCUCUCUCUCUCUCUCUCUCCCCCCUCCCUCCCUCCCUCCAUCUACCUACUUACCUACCACCCAAUGACUAAAAAUGCUUGGCAA
Molecule: long non-coding RNA, 2312 nt
Organism: Pantherophis guttatus
Lineage: Eukaryota; Metazoa; Chordata; Lepidosauria; Squamata; Colubridae
Source: RefSeq, a predicted model, not a curated record